RNAcentral lists this long non-coding RNA (521 nucleotides) under Nicotiana benthamiana. RNAcentral describes it as "long non-coding RNA (NBEN_LNC004721)". The record is from RNAcentral. Lineage: Eukaryota; Viridiplantae; Streptophyta; Magnoliopsida; Solanales; Solanaceae.
UAAUAUGUGGAUGCAUAAGAAAGUUAGAUGAUAUCAAGAAUGUGGGAUAGUUCAAGUUACACUAGUAGUAUUAUCUUCAUUUCCCCUCUCAGGGGCAUAGACUCAAGUAAGAAGAAUUUAAAAUAUUAUAAGAUACUCAAAAGAAAAUACAGAAGAUAAUUAAUGGUGCUUUAUAACGGUUAUAAGAUACUCAAGAAAAUACAGAAGAUAAUUAAUUGUGCUUUAUAACAUGUAAUACCACCUUGCACAUAUCACUGUUUGUGAGCAGUACAUGUCAAGAUUAGCCACUUUCAAUACAACAACAACAACCCAGUAAAAUCCCAGAAGUUGGGUCUGGGAAGGGUAUUAUGUACGCAGAUCUUAAACCUACCCUGAGGGGCUCUCUGCUGUUUACAGGAGACCUCAGCUCAAGAUAUCAACAAGAGACAAUAAGUUAGUGCUAUCAAUAAACUCAUACUAAAAAUAACAUAAAAUACACCAUAUAACAUAAAAUAACAAAAUAGCAGCAAUAUAAGAAAUAC